Molecule: ribosomal RNA, 253 nt
Filed under: uncultured bacterium
Lineage: Bacteria
Description: partial 16S ribosomal RNA
Rfam family: Bacterial small subunit ribosomal RNA
Source: RNAcentral
UACGUAGGGGGCAAGCGUUGUCCGGAAUCAUUGGGCGUAAAGAGCGCGUAGGCGGCCCUGUAAGUCCGCUGUGAAAGUCAAGGGCUCAACCCUUGAAUGCCGGUGGAUACUGCAGGGCUAGAGUCCGGAAGAGGCGAGUGGAAUUCCUGGUGUAGCGGUGAAAUGCGCGGAUAUCAGGAGGAACACCGAUGGCGAAGGCAGCUCGCUGGGACGGUACUGACGCUGAGGCGCGAAAGCGUGGGGAGCGAACAGG